UCCUAGUUAACCUAGGCAGUCUCAUUAGAGUUCCCGCCAUUACGCGCUGGCAACUAAUGAUAAGGGUUGCGCUCGUUGCGGGACUUAACCCAACACCUCACGGCACGAGCUGACGACAGCCAUGCAGCACCUAUAUAGGCGUCCUUACGGAAACUAUCAUCUCUGAUAGCGCCACCUACAUUUCGAGCCUGGGUAAGGUUCUUCGCGUUGCAUCGAAUUAAACCACAUGCUCCACUGCUUGUGCGGGCCCCCGUCAAUUCUUUUGAGUUUCACCCUUGCGAGCGUACUCCCCAGGCGGUAUACUUAUCGCGUUAGCUUCGACACAGCCAGGGUUGAGCCUAGCUACAUCAAGUAUACAUCGUUUACGGCAAGGACUAC
Molecule: unclassified non-coding RNA, 378 nt
Filed under: uncultured Simkaniaceae bacterium
Lineage: Bacteria; Pseudomonadati; Chlamydiota; Chlamydiia; Parachlamydiales; Simkaniaceae
Description: contains 16S-23S intergenic spacer region
Source: RNAcentral